CUGCCCUGUGCUGUAGCUCAGUAACAAAGGUUUUUGCACUUUCACAGUUGCAGUCCAGGUUCAAUUCCCCACCUAGGAAAUGGAGUCUCCUUCUGUCACCCAAGCUGGAGUGCAGUGGCGUGAUCUUGGCCCACUGCAACCUCUGCCUCCCGGGUUCAAGUGAUUCUCCUGCCUCAGCCUCCUGAGUAGCUGGAACUACAGGCACACACCACCACGCCUGGCUAGUUUUUGUAUUAUUAGUAGAGAUGGGGUUUCACCAUAUUGACCAGGCUGGUCUCAAACUCCUGACCUCAUGAUCCACCCACCUUGGCCUCCCAAAAUGUUGGUAUUACAGUUGUGAGCCGCCACGCCUGGCCCUAAAUGUUUUCUUAAAUUAAACACUUAUAAAUCUUCCAGAUAUCACCUUUUGUCAAAAUUCAAUAAUUAUGAAUGGACCUUACUAUACUGAUGCUUUCUUACUAAGCUCCUCUCUACCCUGAAUGCAAGAGACCCUCAUAGUUAGGCAAGAAUAUCAUCACCCCAUUCAACCUGAAAAAGCUACAGAAGAUGGAUCGUCAUCCCUCUGCAACCCUCAGGAUUAAGGAUUCUUUCAUAAAAGGGAGAGGGAAAUGUCAGAGACAUGUGAACCAGAGCAUCUCCAUCUUAAAUAAGAGCUGGGUAAAAUGAGGCUGAAAGUUACUGGGCUGCAUUCCCAGACGGAUAAAGCAAUCUAAGUCAUGAAGUCAGCACAAAAUACAGGUCAUAAUGACCUUGCUGAUAAAACAGGUUGCAGUAAAGGAGCCAGCCAAAACCAAAAUGGUGACAAGACUGACCUCUGGUCGUCCUCACUGCUACACUCCCAUCAGCACCAUGACAGUUUACAAAUGCCAUGGCAACGUCAGGAGGUUACCCUAUAUGGUCUAAAAAGGAGAGGCAUUAAUAAUCCACCCCUUGUUUAGUAUAUCAUCAAGAAAUAACCAUAAAAAUAGGCAACCAGCAGCCCUUGGGGCUGCUCUGUCUAUGGAGUAGCCAUUCUUUUAUUCCUUUACUUUCUUAAUAAACUUACUUUCACUUUGCACUGGGACUCAC
This 1068-nucleotide long non-coding RNA is filed under the name Homo sapiens (human). RNAcentral's name for it is "HSALNT0017631". Lineage: Eukaryota; Metazoa; Chordata; Mammalia; Primates; Hominidae. The record is from RNAcentral.